GAGUAACACGUGGGUAACCUGCCCUAAAGUGGGGGAUAACAUUUGGAAACAGAUGCUAAUACCGCAUAAAACCUAACACCGCAUGGUGUAGGGUUGAAAGAUGGUUUCGGCUAUCACUUUAGGAUGGACCCGCGGUGCAUUAGUUAGUUGGUGAGGUAAAGGCUCACCAAGACCGUGAUGCAUAGCCGACCUGAGAGGGUAAUCGGCCACACUGGGACUGAGACACGGCCCAGACUCCUACGGAGGCAGCAGUAGGGAAUCUUCCACAAUGGACGAAAGUCUGAUGGAGCAACGCCGCGUGAGUGAAGAAGGUUUUCGGAUCGUAAAACUCUGUUGUUGGAGAAGAAUGUAUCUGAUAGUAACUGAUCAGGUAGUGACGGUAUCCAACCAGAAAGCCACGGCUAACUACGUG
This 412-nucleotide ribosomal RNA is filed under the name uncultured bacterium. RNAcentral's name for it is "bacterial SSU rRNA". It matches the Rfam family "Bacterial small subunit ribosomal RNA", at positions 108 to 507 of the family's 1533-position model. The record is from RNAcentral.